This 500-nucleotide ribosomal RNA is filed under the name uncultured bacterium. RNAcentral describes it as "partial 16S ribosomal RNA". It matches the Rfam family "Bacterial small subunit ribosomal RNA", at positions 30 to 523 of the family's 1533-position model. The record is from RNAcentral.
AUUGAACGCUGGCGGCAUGCCUUACACAUGCAAGUCGAACGGCAGCACGGGAGCAAUCCUGGUGGCGAGUGGCGAACGGGUGAGUAAAGUAUCGGAACGUUCCCAGUCGUGGGGGAUAACGUAGCGAAAGUUACGCUAAUACCGCAUACGAUCUAUGGAUGAAAGCGGGGGAUCGCAAGACCUCGCGCGAUUGGAGCGGCCGAUAUCAGAUUAGGUAGUUGGUGAGGUAAAGGCUCACCAAGCCGACGAUCUGUAGCUGGUCUGAGAGGACGACCAGCCACACUGGGACUGAGACACGGCCCAGACUCCUACGGGAGGCAGCAGUGGGGAAUUUUGGACAAUGGGCGCAAGCCUGAUCCAGCCAUGCCGCGUGCAGGAUGAAGGCCUUCGGGUUGUAAACUGCUUUUGUACGGAACGAAAAGGUUUGACUUAAUACGUUGGACUCAUGACGGUACCGUAAGAAUAAGCACCGGCUAACUACGUGCCAGCCGCCGCAGUAA